UUUUACUUACUGGAGAACUCGUUUUCAGUGAUGGAAUUAAAAGUAUACCGGAGUUUCAAGACAAUACACCAACGGUUUGAAAGCCGCAGAUAUUUUGUCACAAAACGCCAAGUCAUUGUCUUUUGGUCGGAAUAUUUCAUCGUUCUCAUUGUUAGAUAGCUUCGGCGCCGCCACGAAGGAAGAGUCUGUUUCAAAAUGCGUGAAAUAAAUAUUAUAUCUGCAGAUGAAACUUGUGAAUCGGUCAAGGCAACUCCAUUUCACCAGGAGUAUUACAUAUCACUGGUAGAAAAUAACUGAGCAACGUAUUGUUCGAUUGCACUCAAAUUCGUGACUAGCUUCAGAAGAGUUCGAGCAAAGCGAUGAACACUUAUUGGCACACCGUACGUACCAACGACAAAGUAUCUUCUGAUGUGUCUGAGCAGCAUCGAGAGUGUGACCCCAGCAAUCGCCUGCAGCAGGGCGAGACUCAAAAAACUGAGAGUGACCGUCCCAGCUCCUCCCAGGGCGCAAACGACGUACGCCUGUUGGUGAAACAAACGGAUUUAACCAAUUCCCAGUUGUGGUAGCAUCGGUGGUACUCAAGGUCCUGGGUUAUAAAGAACACAAGCAUACUCACUUCCAUAAAGUCAGCGAACAUGAAG
Neodiprion virginianus is the source of this 641-nucleotide long non-coding RNA. RefSeq lists it as uncharacterized. The transcript is spliced from 4 exons. NCBI's taxonomy places the organism in Eukaryota, Metazoa, Arthropoda, Insecta, Hymenoptera, Diprionidae. The record is from RefSeq and is a predicted model, not a curated record.